This 431-nucleotide long non-coding RNA is filed under the name Gallus gallus (chicken). Its description in RNAcentral is "long non-coding RNA NONGGAT004119". The record is from RNAcentral. Lineage: Eukaryota; Metazoa; Chordata; Aves; Galliformes; Phasianidae.
GGCUACUUCAAUUUCAAAAUACCUAGAGGGUAUUGUAAGCUGUGGAGGACUACAAGACAAAAAGGAUUAAAAGGAUGUGAAAAUAUCACCUCUUACAGGCUAACAGGUAGGAUAUGCCAGCAUCCAGGUUUUGUGCAUUUUACCCAAAGAAUCACUGGCAAGUCAGUUGAUUUCAAGAGAUUUUCACCUACUCAGAGUGGACAGUGAAGAAAAGUAACUAAACUUGUUUGACUCAACCACUUCUGCUGUUAACUGGAAGCAAUACCUACGUUACCUGCCUGCCUCAUAGCACAACACUUGAAAGUCUGUUUGAACGUGGCUUGCUUGCAAGUGAUGGCCAACCUGGUAUUAAGGUGAAAAAGACAAGUCAAAGUGGGGUAAGUGUAAGAUCCCACUGAACACUUAUAAUUAUCAUAUUUAUUUCACUGUUG